UACGGAGGGUGCAAGCGUUGUUCGGAAUCACUGGGCGUAAAGGGCGCGUAGGCGGCCGAUCAAGUCAGUUGUGAAAUCCCACGGCUCAACCGUGGAAGUGCAAAUGAAACUGGUUGGCUUGAGUACCGGAGGGGAAUGUGGAAUUCCCGGUGUAGAGGUGAAAUUCGUAGAUAUCGGGAGGAACACCGGUGGCGAAGGCGACAUUCUGGACGGAUACUGACGCUGAGGCGCGAAAGCGUGGGGAGCAAACAGG
Molecule: ribosomal RNA, 253 nt
Filed under: uncultured bacterium
Lineage: Bacteria
Description: partial 16S ribosomal RNA
Rfam family: Bacterial small subunit ribosomal RNA
Source: RNAcentral